GGGCGUAGGCGGGGACAGAGGUGCUGGCGCCAGGCGCUCUGCGGGCAGGGCCAGAGGCGCGGGGACCGAGGCGAGGACGGAGGCAUACGGCGCGCAGGAGCAUAGGCGUGGGGCCCGAGGCCCGGUCGGUUUGCACAACAUUGGACAGACCUGCUGCCUUAACUCCCUGAUUCAGGUGCUGAUUAUGAAUGUGGGAUUAACCAGAUACUGAAGAGGUAAGACUAUGUUCAGGCAG
This 235-nucleotide long non-coding RNA is filed under the name Sus scrofa (pig). RNAcentral describes it as "lncRNA (ENSSSCG00070010542.1)". Lineage: Eukaryota; Metazoa; Chordata; Mammalia; Artiodactyla; Suidae. The record is from RNAcentral.